This 699-nucleotide ribosomal RNA is filed under the name uncultured bacterium. RNAcentral describes it as "bacterial SSU rRNA". It matches the Rfam family "Bacterial small subunit ribosomal RNA", at positions 699 to 1398 of the family's 1533-position model. The record is from RNAcentral.
GGGAAGAACACCAGUGGCGAAGGCGCUCUACUGGGCUGCAACUGACGCUGAGGGACGAAAGCUAGGGGAGCGAAAGGGAUUAGAUACCCCUGUAGUCCUAGCCGUAAACGAUGGACACUAGGUGUUGGCCGUAUCGACCCGGUCAGUAUCGUAGCUAACGCGUUAAGUGUCCCGCCUGGGGAGUACGCACGCAAGUGUGAAACUCAAAGGAAUUGACGGGGGCCCGCACAAGCGGUGGAGUAUGUGGUUUAAUUCGAUGCAACGCGAAGAACCUUACCAGGGUUUGACAUCCCGCGAACCUUCCUGAAAGGGGAGGGUGCCUUCGGGAGCGCGGAGACAGGUGGUGCAUGGCUGUCGUCAGCUCGUGUCGUGAGAUGUUGGGUUAAGUCCCGCAACGAGCGCAACCCUCGUCUUUAGUUGCCAUCAUUCAGUUGGGCACUCUAGAGAGACUGCCGGGGACAACUCGGAGGAAGGUGGGGAUGACGUCAAGUCAUCAUGCCCCUUACAUCCUGGGCUACACACGUACUACAAUGCUGCGGACAAAGGGCAGCGAACUCGCGAGGGUAAGCUAAUCUCAUAAACCGUGGCUCAGUUCAGAUCGCAGGCUGCAACUCGCCUGCGUGAAGGAGGAAUCGCUAGUAAUCGCAGGUCAGCAUACUGCGGUGAAUACGUUCCCGGGCCUUGCACUCACCGCCCGUC